UAGGGAAUCUUCGGCAAUGGGGGGAACCCUGACCGAGCAACGCCGCGUGAGUGAAGCAGGUUUUCGGAUCGUAAAGCUCUGUUGUUAAGGAAGAACGAGUGUGAGAAUGGAAAGUUCAUACUGUGACGGUACUUAACCAGAAAGGGACGGCUAACUACGUGCCAGCAGCCGCGGUAAUACGUAGGUCCCGAGCGUUGUCCGGAUUUAUUGGGCGUAAAGCGAGCGCAGGCGGUUAGAUAAGUCUGAAGUUAAAGGCAGUGGCUCAACCAUUGUAGGCUUUGGAAACUGUUUAACUUGAGUGCAGAAGGGGAGAGUGGAAUUCCAUGUGUAGCGGUGAAAUGCGUAGAUAUAUGGAGGAACGCCGGUGGCGAAAGCGGCUCUCUGGUCUGUAACUGACGCUGAGGCUCGAAAGCGUGGGGAGCGAACAGG
This 429-nucleotide ribosomal RNA is filed under the name Bacteroidota bacterium. RNAcentral describes it as "Bacteroidetes bacterium partial 16S ribosomal RNA". It matches the Rfam family "Bacterial small subunit ribosomal RNA", at positions 355 to 776 of the family's 1533-position model. The record is from RNAcentral. Lineage: Bacteria; Pseudomonadati; Bacteroidota.